GCCUGGAUGGCUCAGUCAGUUAAGCACCUGACUUCAGCUCAGGUCAUGAUCCCACAUCUCAUGGGUUCAAGCCCUACUUCGGGCU
This 85-nucleotide transfer RNA is filed under the name Felis catus (domestic cat). It matches the Rfam family "tRNA". From Rfam's summary of the family: Transfer RNA (tRNA) molecules are approximately 80 nucleotides in length. RNAcentral also lists the same sequence under 2 other names. The record is from Rfam by way of RNAcentral. Lineage: Eukaryota; Metazoa; Chordata; Mammalia; Carnivora; Felidae.